GACGAACGCUGGCGGCGUGCCUAAUACAUGCAAGUCGAGCGAGCGGAACCAACAGAUUUACUUCGGUAAUGACGUUGGGAAAGCGAGCGGCGGAUGGGUGAGUAACACGUGGGGAACCUGCCCCUAAGUCUGGGAUACCAUUUGGAAACAGGUGCUAAUACCGGAUAAUAAAGCAGAUCGCAUGAUCAGCUUUUGAAAGGCGGCGUAAGCUGUCGCUAAGGGAUGGCCCCGCGGUGCAUUAGCUAGUUGGUGGGGUAACGGCCUACCAAGGCGACGAUCAGUAGCCGACCUGAGAGGGUGACCGGCCACAUUGGGACUGAGACACGGCCCAA
RNAcentral lists this ribosomal RNA (332 nucleotides) under uncultured bacterium. RNAcentral describes it as "bacterial SSU rRNA". It matches the Rfam family "Bacterial small subunit ribosomal RNA", at positions 28 to 334 of the family's 1533-position model. The record is from RNAcentral.